This 253-nucleotide ribosomal RNA is filed under the name uncultured bacterium. RNAcentral describes it as "partial 16S ribosomal RNA". It matches the Rfam family "Bacterial small subunit ribosomal RNA", at positions 524 to 776 of the family's 1533-position model. The record is from RNAcentral.
UACGUAGGUGGCUAGCGUUGCUCGGAAUGACUGGGCGUAAAGGGCGCGCAGGCGGCUCAUUUUGUCAGGCGUGAAAUCCCCGGGCUUAACCUGGGAACUGCGUUUGAAACUACAAGGCUAGAGUGUGGCAGAGGGGGGUGGAAUUCCACGUGUAGCAGUGAAAUGCGUAGAGAUGUGGAGGAACACCGAUGGCGAAGGCAGCCCCCUGGGUUAACACUGACGCUCAGGCACGAAAGCGUGGGGAGCAAACAGG